UGAUAGUGGCGGAUAAAAUGA
Molecule: non-coding RNA, 21 nt
Organism: Caenorhabditis elegans
Lineage: Eukaryota; Metazoa; Nematoda; Chromadorea; Rhabditida; Rhabditidae
Source: Ensembl